Molecule: ribosomal RNA, 253 nt
Filed under: uncultured bacterium
Lineage: Bacteria
Description: partial 16S ribosomal RNA
Rfam family: Bacterial small subunit ribosomal RNA
Source: RNAcentral
UACAGAGGUCUCAACCGUUGUUCGGAUUCAUUGGGCGUAAAGGGUGCGUAGGCGGUCGCGUAAGUCAGGUGUGAAAUCCCGGGGCUCAACCCGGGAAGUGCAUUCGAUACUGCGUAGCUAGAGUACUGGAGAGGAUGGUGGAACUCUCGGUGUAGAGGUGAAAUUCGUAGAUAUCGAGAAGAACACCGGUGGCGAAGGCGGCCAUCUGGACAGAUACUGACGCUGAGACGCGAAAGCGUGGGGAGCAAACAGG